AGAGCGAACGCUGGCGGCAUGCUUAACACAUGCAAGUCGCACGAACGGUUUCGGCUGUUAGUGGCGGACGGGUGAGUAUCGCGUAGGGAUUUAUCGUUGGGUGGGGGAUAACCCCCGGGAAACCGGAGCUAAUACCGGAUACGACACGGAGAGGCAUCUCUACCGUGUGGAAAGUUUUUCGGUCUGGGAUGGACUCGCGGCCUAUCAGCUUGUUGGUGAGGUAAUGGCUCACCAAGGCGACGACGGGUA
RNAcentral lists this ribosomal RNA (249 nucleotides) under uncultured bacterium. RNAcentral describes it as "partial small subunit ribosomal RNA". It matches the Rfam family "Bacterial small subunit ribosomal RNA", at positions 26 to 285 of the family's 1533-position model. The record is from RNAcentral.